This 362-nucleotide ribosomal RNA is filed under the name uncultured bacterium. Its description in RNAcentral is "bacterial SSU rRNA". It matches the Rfam family "Bacterial small subunit ribosomal RNA", at positions 8 to 334 of the family's 1533-position model. The record is from RNAcentral.
AGAGUUUGAUUCUGGCUCAGGAUAAACGCUGGCGGCGCACAUAAGACAUGCAAGUCGAACGGAAGUCGUUAUAAAAAGGAUUGAAGAUUUAUCUGAUUGAGAUUUUAUAACAAUGGCUUUAGUGGCGGACUGGUGAGUAACGCGUGAGCAACCUGCCUACUAGAGGGGAAUAACAGUGAGAAAUCAUUGCUAAUACCGCAUAUGCCAUGAACAUCACAUGAUGAAAAUGGGAAAAGAGUAAUCUGCUAGUAGAUGGGCUCGCGUCUGAUUAGAUAGUUGGUGGGGUAACGGCCUACCAAGUCAACGAUCAGUAGCCGGACUGAGAGGUUGAACGGCCACAUUGGGACUGAGAUACGGCCCAG